This 1464-nucleotide ribosomal RNA is filed under the name uncultured Glomeromycotina. Its description in RNAcentral is "eukaryotic LSU rRNA". The stretch from base 703 to 1464 matches the Rfam family "Eukaryotic large subunit ribosomal RNA", at positions 1 to 673 of the family's 3401-position model. The record is from RNAcentral. Lineage: Eukaryota; Fungi; Glomeromycota.
CCUAGUAAGCGUGAGUCAUCAGCUCGCGUUGAUUACGUCCCUGCCCUUUGUACACACCGCCCGUCGCUACUACCGAUUGAAUGGCUUAGUGAGACCUUCGGAUUGUAGACUGUUUCGUUGGCAACAACAUACGGUUCGCGAGAAGUUGGUCAAACUUGGUCAUUUAGAGGAAGUAAAAGUCGUAACAAGGUUUCCGUAGGUGAACCUGCGGAAGGAUCAUUAAAAAAGGGUCGAAAGACCUAUUUCUAAACCUACUACCAAUUCUUACUUCUUUGAGGUGAGAUGGUGGUAGGUUUUUUCAAACCCCAAUUUAAAAAUAUCGUCACAAGACGAAACCAAAAAAAAAAUAUAAAUAAAACUUUCAACAAUGGAUCUCUUGGCUCUCGUAUCGAUGAAGAACGCAGCGAAUUGCGAUAAGUAGUGUGAAUUGCAAAUUCUGUGAAUCAUCGAAUCUUUGAACGCAUAUUGCGCUCUCUGGUACUCCGGAGAGCAUGCCUGUUUGAGGGUAAUUAACAGAAUCUCUAACCUUUUUCUUGGUUAAAGGAUAUGGGCAUUCCGCGAUUAGCGGUAGCCUAAAAUAUAUGGUCAGUCUCAUCGAGAGGAGAUGUGUAAUAAUUAUUAUUUCGCAAAACCAUUUGAUGAGCUACCAAGUUUUGAUUCAUUCAACUAUGUUGGGUGCGGUUAAAACAAAUAUUUUUGACAUUACCUCAAAUCAGGUAGGAAUACCCGCUGAACUUAAGCAUAUCAAUAAGCGGAGGAAAAGAAACUAACCAGGAUUCCCCUAGUAACGGCGAGUGAAGCGGGAAUAGCUCAAAUUUUAAAUCUGGCCUGCGUGGUCGGUCCGAGUUGUAAUUUAAAGAAGCGAUUAUCACGUUUUCGUUCGGGUUCAAGUUCCUUGGAAUAGGACAUCAGAGAGGGUGAGAAUCCCGUCUGUGUUCCGAUCGGUUUCGGUACGAUAACGUUUCUAAGAGUCGAGUUGUUUGGGAUUGCAGCUCAAAAUGGGUGGUAAAUUCCAUCUAAGGCUAAAUAUAGGCGAGAGACCGAUAGCGAACAAGUACCGUGAGGGAAAGAUGAAAAGAACUUUGAAAAGAGAGUUAAAUAGUACGUGAAAUUGUUGAAAGGGAAACGAUUAAAGUCAGCCGUGCCGGUGGGAAAUCAGCUUACAAGUAUUUGUGAGUGCACUUUCUCGCAAGGCAGGUUAGCAUCGGUUUUGGUUGCGUUAAAAUGAUUGCAAGAAGGUAGCUCCUUCGGGAGUGUUAUAGCUUGCUUUAGAUGACGUAGAUGAGACCGAGGAUUGCAGCGAAUGCUUUUGGCUACGGAUCUGGCCUCUGUCGACGAUUAAUUGGCCGUGAGCUUGCUCACGUACGGUUGAUUUGUUUACAACAGGUUUAGAAUCCGAUAAAUUCGCUAAGGAUGCUAACAUAAUGGCUUUAAACGACCCGUCUUGAAACACGGACCAAGGAG